RNAcentral lists this non-coding RNA (42 nucleotides) under Compsopogon caeruleus. Lineage: Eukaryota; Rhodophyta; Compsopogonophyceae; Compsopogonales; Compsopogonaceae. The record is from RNAcentral.
UUUGUUUUCCUUUCUUUUCUUUUUUCUUUUUAUUUUCUUCUA